RNAcentral lists this non-coding RNA (26 nucleotides) under Cricetulus griseus (Chinese hamster). Lineage: Eukaryota; Metazoa; Chordata; Mammalia; Rodentia; Cricetidae. The record is from RNAcentral.
CAGCACAUGGGAGACUGAGACAGGCC